Non-coding RNA from Caenorhabditis elegans, 21 nucleotides. The record is from Ensembl. NCBI's taxonomy places the organism in Eukaryota, Metazoa, Nematoda, Chromadorea, Rhabditida, Rhabditidae.
UUCUUCCACGAACUAAGUAUA